RNAcentral lists this ribosomal RNA (253 nucleotides) under uncultured bacterium. Its description in RNAcentral is "partial 16S ribosomal RNA". It matches the Rfam family "Bacterial small subunit ribosomal RNA", at positions 524 to 776 of the family's 1533-position model. The record is from RNAcentral.
GACGUAGGGGGCCAGCGUUGCUCGGAAUUACUGGGCGUAAAGCGCACGCAGGUGGCUGAGUCAGUCGAUUGUGAAAGCCCUGGGCUUAACCUGGGAAUUGCAGUCGAUACUACUCGGCUAGAGUAUGGGAGAGGGCAGUGGAAUUCCCGGUGUAGCGGUGCAAUGCGUAGAUAUCGGGAGGAACUUCAGUGGCGAAGGCGGCUGCCUGGCCCAAUACUGCCUCUCAUGUGCGACAGCGUGGGGAGCAAACAGG